RNAcentral lists this ribosomal RNA (429 nucleotides) under Bacteroidota bacterium. Its description in RNAcentral is "Bacteroidetes bacterium partial 16S ribosomal RNA". It matches the Rfam family "Bacterial small subunit ribosomal RNA", at positions 355 to 776 of the family's 1533-position model. Lineage: Bacteria; Pseudomonadati; Bacteroidota. The record is from RNAcentral.
UAGGGAAUCUUCGGCAAUGGGGGGAACCCUGACCGAGCAACGCCGCGUGAGUGAAGAAGGUUUUCGGAUCGUAAAGCUCUGUUGUUAAGGAAGAACGAGUGUGAGAAUGGAAAGUUCAUACUGUGACGGUACUUAACCAGAAAGGGACGGCUAACUACGUGCCAGCAGCCGCGGUAAUACGUAGGUCCCGAGCGUUGUCCGGAUUUAUUGGGCGUAAAGCGAGCGCAGGCGGUUAGAUAAGUCUGAAGUUAAAGGCAGUGGCUCAACCAUUGUAGGCUUUGGAAACUGUUUAACUUGAGUGCAGAAGGGGAGAGUGGAAUUCCAGGUGUAGCGGUGAAAUGCGUAGUUAUAUGGAGGAACACCGGUGGCGAAAGCGGCUCUCUGGUCUGUAACUGACGCUGAGGCUCGAAAGCGUGGGGAGCGAACAGG